AUUGAACGCUGGCGGCAGGCUUAACACAUGCAAGUCGAGCGGGGUGAUGGUGCUUGCACUAUCACUUAGCGGCGGACGGGUGAGUAAUGCUUAGGAAUCUGCCUAUUAGUGGGGGACAACAUCUCGAAAGGGAUGCUAAUACCGCAUACGUCCUACGGGAGAAAGCAGGGGAUCACUUGUGACCUUGCGCUAAUAGAUGAGCCUAAGUCGGAUUAGCUAGUUGGUGGGGUAAAGGCCUACCAAGGCGACGAUCUGUAGCGGGUCUGAGAGGAUGAUCCGCCACACUGGGACUGAGACACGGCCCAGACUCCUACGGGAGGCAGCAGUGGGGAAUAUUGGACAAUGGGGGAAACCCUGAUCCAGCCAUGCCGCGUGUGUGAAGAAGGCCUUAUGGUUGUAAAGCACUUUAAGCGAGGAGGAGGCUACUCUAGUUAAUACCUGGAGAUAGUGGACGUUACUCGCAGAAUAAGCACCGGCUAACUCUGUGCCAGCAGCCGCUGUAA
This 503-nucleotide ribosomal RNA is filed under the name uncultured bacterium. Its description in RNAcentral is "partial 16S ribosomal RNA". It matches the Rfam family "Bacterial small subunit ribosomal RNA", at positions 30 to 523 of the family's 1533-position model. The record is from RNAcentral.